Long non-coding RNA from Larimichthys crocea (large yellow croaker), 3226 nucleotides. RefSeq lists it as uncharacterized. The transcript has 3 exons. The record is from RefSeq and is a predicted model, not a curated record. Lineage: Eukaryota; Metazoa; Chordata; Actinopteri; Sciaenidae.
GAGUUAUCAGUGUUUAUCUUCUGGAGAACAGGAGUAACUAUAAAGACAGUCAGUUUAUGAAUUGAUCCACAUUUCAUCCAUGGUGUGGCUAAAAACUUCAUAAAAGCAGAUUAUCAAUCAUUUUUUGGAUGAAUCAGACAAAGUGGAAGGUUUCUUAGAGACGUAUAAAACUUCCAUCAUAUAAGACUAAAUUUAUAUGACUUUACUCAAGGUGCAAACAUCUAAUGCUGAAGUAUUAAACAGUGUGAAGCAGCAUGUGUACGUCACUGCAGAGCAUCUCUUCUCUGCCUCCAUACCUGAGCUUUCUACCACAGUGAGUGUGUCGUGUUUUGUGUGCAUGCUGCUGGCUGUGUGUGUGGUGCCAACACUUCCUCCUGCUCCCGGCUGUGUUCUGUGUGUUGCGGCCUGAUUAGAAAACGGCCUAUUUUUCUCUCUCAGAGAGCGAAACUGCUGAAAAUUGUAUUGUCAUCUGCCGCCGAGUCUCUGUGCGAUGAGCUGAAGGGGACAGGACUGUGACUACGUUCAAAUAUUUUUUAUCCUAGUCAUCACACAGCCUGUGUGUUUCAUCCAUACGGUUCUAUAAACAUGAAUGAAAACCUGGCAUCAGAUUCAUGAAACCGCAGUUCAACACAUGUAUUUUCAGCAGAGCAUCUUAAUGCACGUUUUUGUAUUUUUUCUUAGAUUUGCCUGCCAGGCGCGUAACAACGUGGCCGUGCAGUGUUCCUGUGGAGAGGUGUGUUUACGUGUGUGUCAGGACAUCCGGCCGGGGACUGAGCUGCUGUUGUACGAAGACACCGCGGGGACAACGGAUGGUCGUGACGCACAGGACGCUGGACACACAGAGACAGAAAACAAAGUGGAAGACAAAAAAGACCCAGAGACUGAAGUGCCCAACAUAUCGAUCGUUCAAGAGAAGGAAGGUGGGACAAAGGGGCGGACAGGAGGAAGAACUGCAGAGAAAACCACACAGAUGCAUCAAGAGGAGACACCCAACCACAAACAUGAGGAAGAGGAGAGCCAAGAAGAUAGACAGAACAUCCAGCAGUGAUAACACGACAGCAGGCGGACACACGGAGAGGCGUGUGCAGCCGAGGCGUCCAGAGAGGAUGUGGCUCUGACGUGGCGUCCGGAGAUCAGAGAGAGGCGGUACAGGUGUUCCAGCUGUGGUAAAAAGUUCUUCCAGAACCACUUAGAGAAACACCAGUUCAUUCACACCGAGGAGAAACCGCUCAGCUGCCAAGAGUGCGGGAAAAACUACACGUCUGCAGAAAGCUUCAGAGCCCAUCAAAUGAGUCACCGUGGCGAGCGUCCAUUCUCCUGUCCUCACUGUGAGAAGACGUACGGCCUGAAGCAGGACCUGAAGGAGCACAUGGUCCUGCACACCGGUGAAAAACCACCGCCUCCUUCACUGCAGCAGGAUGAUUUACACACAGCCUCCGAAGGUAGAGAGGCGUUCUGCUCCGCACUGGUAAUGAUUACCUGAAGUUUAGACUUUUGGUUUUACAGUAUUCCACUGAUCAACAGGCAACAGACAAUGUGCCAGCAAAAGUAGAUAAGAAGAAGCUGUUUCCAAGUACCCAAAACAUUUAGUCCCAGAGACGACUUUUCAAGGAAAUCCUGUUUUUGACAUAUGCAGUUUGUAUCCAGAUUGAUAUUUGUAUUUCUACAGAUGUGUCUUAGUCCCGAUGCUCUGGCAGCUUAUGUUGGAUUUCAAAGUGUCUUCUGAGUCACCUGAACCACGACACGGCGACAAAGUCCAACCUAGAGUGAUGGAAGAGCCUCAGAGUGGCUGAUUAUGGAGAUGCUGAAAUAAAUUGUCUGCUGACAUUUUGGGUGUACGGACAAAGCUGCAUCAUCAGCGUACAUAGUUACGUUAAGUUAAGUUGGUGGUCUCUGGACGCACAGAUCUGAUCUCUUGCAGAUCAGUCGGUCUUUAAGACACAAACUUAAUUUGCCUCCAGUCUGAACAAAGCCUGACAGGGUUCCUUCAGCCCAUUGUUGCCUGAAGACUCGCAAAGAUUACUCCACUGACGUAUGAAAGUGCGACAGCUCCGUCUGCUGUAUGCUUCCAUCUUGACGUGUUGAAGUACAAAGAACAAACAAAACAAACCGGUUUGUGGAUACAGAUUUUUCAAAGUGGUGCCUGAAACACAAUAAAUAUUUAAAUUCCUGUACUUUUGGAAAGCACUUCCCUCCGAGCAGGAACCUUUUAUAGGGUGUAAAAUAAUGUCAUCGGGGCCUUAAUUUAGAUCCUGGUCCCCGAGGUGGAAAUGCACCGACUUCCUCCAAUAGUUCCUCUCUAGGGAAAGUUCCUGUGGUGGAACCGCAGCUAUAGAGCUCACGGAUACAAAAGUAUUUUGAUGAGAGAGUGUAAAUAUGAAUUUUAUGUGUUCAAAAGAAAACUCCAUAGGACCCUUUUUAAAGUGCUUGUUCACCCGUGUGUGCUGACAUUUCCAGAUGACAGUGGGCAGCUUAAUUGGUUCAUUUUUCACUCGUGCGUUCAUGAAUUUCUCCUGAAAUGUGCAUUCACCAUGGAGGAGUGUUUUUCAAAUUGCUUCCCCCUUUUCCCUCAGCUAUCUCAGACAAACACAGUUUUAAAGGAGUCGUGUUUCGGUCUCCGCGCUGCUCAGUCCUAUUUAAAAAAUCUCUCACAUAACAUCUUUAAAUUUUCAUGCAGGUCUUGUUGUUUCUCCCCCGACAGCAUUUUGAACCUAAAGUAUUUAAAAAGAGGGUGGGAAAGGACGUGCUGCAUUUGAUUUUCUCUCACAGGUGCAGUGUACAGUCGGCCCCAAGCUGCUGGCUAACUGAGAAACCACAUGAAGCUCCACACGGGGGAAAAACCUCACGUCUGUCAGCACUGUGGGAAGUGCUGACAGACAGAAGAAAGGUAAUAUCAGAUUGUCUGAUCCCAGAGCCGCAACAAGCUAUUGAACAGUCACGUGUGCUCUGUGUCAAACUGCUGACAGGUUGAUCUCACCUCCUGACUUAAGGGAGUAAACAAAAGUAAUCGACUCACAAACCUUAACACAGAGCAGAAACGGGACAUAUGUCAGAGUUUAUUCUUUAAACUUUUGGGAUUUAAAGUAAAUAGAUUUUCACUCUUGGUGCAGACAUCUGUUCUUGUUGAAUGGUUUAGGCCCACAAUACAUAAAUGAAAUGUUAGUAGAAUAUAGACCCAGUAGGGCUCUGAGAUCUACGGACUCAGGUCAGAUAGUGGAGCACAGAG